AUUUCUAUAUUUAUAUAGUUUAACACAUAAAACCUUACAUUUUCAUUGUAAAAUCAAAAUUACUUUUUAUAAA
This 73-nucleotide transfer RNA is filed under the name Macrolycus sp. UPOL ZL2005. RNAcentral's name for it is "tRNA-Glu". The record is from RNAcentral. Lineage: Eukaryota; Metazoa; Arthropoda; Insecta; Coleoptera; Lycidae.